UAGGGAAUCUUCCACAAUGGACGCAAGUCUGAUGGAGCAACGCCGCGUGAGUGAAGAAGGUUUUCGGAUCGUAAAGCUCUGUUGUUGGUGAAGAAGGAUAGAGGUAGUAACUGGCCUUUAUUUGACGGUAAUCAACUAGAAAGUCACGGCUAACUACGUGCCAGCAGCCGCGGUAAUACGUAGGUGGCAAGCGUUGUCCGGAUUUAUUGGGCGUAAAGCGAGCGCAGGCGGAAGAAUAAGUCUGAUGUGAAAGCCCUCGGCUUAACCGAGGAACUGCAUCGGAAACUGUUUUUCUUGAGUGCAGAAGAGGAGAGUGGAACUCCAUGUGUAGCGGUGGAAUGCGUAGAUAUAUGGAAGAACACCAGUGGCGAAGGCGACUCUCUGGUCUGCAACUGACGCUGAGGCUCGAAAGCAUGGGUAGCGAACAGG
This 429-nucleotide ribosomal RNA is filed under the name Bacillota bacterium. RNAcentral describes it as "Firmicutes bacterium partial 16S ribosomal RNA". It matches the Rfam family "Bacterial small subunit ribosomal RNA", at positions 355 to 776 of the family's 1533-position model. Lineage: Bacteria; Bacillati; Bacillota. The record is from RNAcentral.